UGAGCCUUUACCUCACCAACUAGCUAAUCGGACGCGGGCUCAUCUCCGAGCAAUCAAUCUUUACCCGAAAAAUCUUAUGAUCUCUCGAGACCAUCCAGUAUUAGCUUCCCUUUCGGAAAGUUAUCCCAGACUCGGAGGAAGAUUACCCACGUGUUACUCACNCGUUCGCCGCUGAGUAUUGCUACUCCGCUUGACUUGCAUGUUUAA
RNAcentral lists this ribosomal RNA (207 nucleotides) under uncultured Leptospira sp. RNAcentral's name for it is "partial 16S ribosomal RNA". Lineage: Bacteria; Pseudomonadati; Spirochaetota; Leptospiria; Leptospirales; Leptospiraceae. The record is from RNAcentral.